This 238-nucleotide ribosomal RNA is filed under the name uncultured bacterium. RNAcentral describes it as "partial 16S ribosomal RNA". It matches the Rfam family "Bacterial small subunit ribosomal RNA", at positions 96 to 334 of the family's 1533-position model. The record is from RNAcentral.
CGGCGGACGGGUGAGUAACGCGUGGGUAACCUGCCUCAUACAGGGGGAUAACAGUUGGAAACGGCUGCUAAUACCGCAUAAGCGCACAGUACCGCAUGGUACCGUGUGAAAAACUCCGGUGGUAUGAGAUGGACCCGCGUCUGAUUAGCUAGUUGGUGGGGUAACGGCCUACCAAGGCGACGAUCAAUAGCCGACCUGAGAGGGUGAUCGGCCACAUUGGAACUGAGACACGGUCCAA